GACGAACGCUGGCGGCGUGCCUAAUACAUGCAAGUUGAGCGAUGAAGAUUGGUGCUUGCACCAAUUUGAAGAGCAGCGAACGGGUGAGUAACGCGUGGGGAAUCUGCCUUUGAGCGGGGGACAACAUUUGGAAACGAAUGCUAAUACCGCAUAACAACUUUAAACAUAAGUUUUAAGUUUGAAAGAUGCAAUUGCGUCACUCAAAGAUGAUCCCGCGUUGUAUUAGCUAGUUGGUGAGGUAAAGGCUCACCAAGGCGAUGAUACAUAGCCGACCUGAGAGGGUGAUCGGCCACAUUGGGACUGAGACACGGCCCAAACUCCUACGGGGGGCAGCAGUAGGGAAUCUUCGGCAAUGGACGAAAGUCUGACCGAGCAACGCCGCGUGAGUGAAGAAGGUUUUCGGAUCGUAAAACUCUGUUGGUAGAGAAGAACGUUGGUGAGAGUGGAAAGCUCAUCAAGUGACGGUAACUACCCAGAAAGGGACGGCUAACUACGUG
This 497-nucleotide ribosomal RNA is filed under the name uncultured bacterium. RNAcentral's name for it is "partial 16S ribosomal RNA". It matches the Rfam family "Bacterial small subunit ribosomal RNA", at positions 28 to 507 of the family's 1533-position model. The record is from RNAcentral.